GACGAACGCUGGCGGCGUGCCUAAUACAUGCAAGUUGAGCGAUGAAGAUUGGUGCUUGCACCAAUUUGAAGAGCAGCGAACGGGUGAGUAACGCGUGGGGAAUCUGCCUUUGAGCGGGGGACAACAUUUGGAAACGAAUGCUAAUACCGCAUAACAACUUUAAACAUAAGUUUUAAGUUUGAAAGAUGCAAUUGCAUCACUCAAAGAUGAUCCCGCGUUGUAUUAGCUAGUUGGUGAGGUAAAGGCUCACCAAGGCGAUGAUACAUAGCCGACCUGAGAGGGUGAUCGGCCACCUUGGGACUGAGACACGGCCCAAACUCCUACGGGAGGCAGCAGUAGGGAAUCUUCGGCAAUGGACGAAAGUCUGACCGAGCAACGCCGCGUGAGUGAAGAAGGUUUUCGGAUCGUAAAACUCGGUUGGUAGAGAAGAACGUUGGUGAGAGUGGAAAGCUCAUCAAGUGACGGUAACUACCCAGAAAGGGACGGCUAACUACGUG
RNAcentral lists this ribosomal RNA (497 nucleotides) under uncultured bacterium. Its description in RNAcentral is "partial 16S ribosomal RNA". It matches the Rfam family "Bacterial small subunit ribosomal RNA", at positions 28 to 507 of the family's 1533-position model. The record is from RNAcentral.